Molecule: small RNA, 593 nt
Filed under: Pan troglodytes (chimpanzee)
Lineage: Eukaryota; Metazoa; Chordata; Mammalia; Primates; Hominidae
Description: retained intron
Source: RNAcentral
AUGCGCCGGUGGCGUGAUGGAGCAGCAGCAGCAGCAGCAACAGCAACUGAGAAACGUAAGUGAGAACUAAGUCGUUUCGAGGCCAGACGUUCAGCUCGCAUUCCUGCACACAUCGCGGGAACCCCACAGGGCCAGGGAUUUGAGGGCUGGAAACUUCGGGCUAUGGCGCGCGGGCCUGGGAAACUUUGGGCGGCGCGACCUUGACUAGAAGUGUGGGGCCCUUAUCGCUGAGUUUGUGGUCCCCCUUUUCUCUCAGCUGCGUGACUUCCUGUUGGUCUACAAUCGGAUGACAGAACUCUGCUUCCAGCGCUGUGUGCCCAGCUUGCACCACCGAGCUCUGGACGCUGAGGAGGAGGCCUGUCUGCACAGCUGUGCUGGGAAGCUGAUCCAUUCCAACCACCGCCUCAUGGCCGCUUACGUGCAGCUCAUGCCUGCCCUGGUACAGCGCCGCAUCGCAGACUACGAGGCUGCCUCGGCUGUGCCAGGCGUUGCUGCUGAACAGCCUGGGGUCUCUCCAUCAGGCAGCUAGCCAUCCCCAACCCCAGGAGGGAAGGCCCUGGAUGGACCCUCAGAUUGAAGGACCCAGUGGACCU